This 29-nucleotide ribosomal RNA is filed under the name Allium chamaespathum. RNAcentral's name for it is "partial large subunit ribosomal RNA". The record is from RNAcentral. Lineage: Eukaryota; Viridiplantae; Streptophyta; Magnoliopsida; Asparagales; Amaryllidaceae.
CAUGACCUCAGAUCAGACGGGGCGACCCG